GGGUGAGUAACGCGUGGAUAAUCUACCUUUAGGAUUGGGAUAACAGUUGGAAACGGCUGCUAAUACCGAAUACGCUGCAUAUUUAUUUAUGUGGGAAAGAUGGCCUCUUCAUGAAAGCUAUCACCUAGAGAUGAGUCCGCGUUCCAUUAGCUUGUUGGUGGGGUAAUGGCCUACCAAGGCGACGAUGGAUAGCUGGUCUGAGAGGAUGAUCAGCCACACUGGAACUGAAACACGGUCCAGACUCCUACGGGAGGCAGCAGUGGGGAAUAUUGCGCAAUGGGGGAAACCCUGACGCAGCGACGCCGUGUGCGGGACGAAGGCUUUCGGGUCGUAAACCGCUGUCAGGAGGGAAGAACCGCAUCAGUUCGAAUAGGGCUGGUGCCUGACGGUACCUCCAGAGGAAGCACCGGCUAACUCCGUGCCAGCAGCCGCGGUAAUACGGAGGGUGCAAGCGUUAAUCGGAAUCACUGGGCGUAAAGCGUGCGUAGGCGGCUUGCCAAGUCAGGUGUGAAAGCCCUCGGCUCAACCGGGGAAUUGCACUUGAAACUGGUAGGCUAGAGUCUCGGAGAGGGUGGCGGAAUUCCCGGUGUAGGAGUGAAAUCCGUAGAUAUCGGGAGGAACACCAGUGGCGAAGGCGGCCACCUGGACGAUGACUGACGCUGAGGUACGAAAGCGUGGGGAGCAAACAGGAUUAGAUA
This 698-nucleotide ribosomal RNA is filed under the name Desulfovibrio sp. PR6_C08. RNAcentral describes it as "bacterial SSU rRNA". It matches the Rfam family "Bacterial small subunit ribosomal RNA", at positions 104 to 784 of the family's 1533-position model. The record is from RNAcentral. Lineage: Bacteria; Pseudomonadati; Thermodesulfobacteriota; Desulfovibrionia; Desulfovibrionales; Desulfovibrionaceae.